This is a long non-coding RNA of Asparagus officinalis (garden asparagus), 890 nucleotides long. RefSeq lists it as uncharacterized. The transcript is spliced from 2 exons. The record is from RefSeq and is a predicted model, not a curated record. NCBI's taxonomy places the organism in Eukaryota, Viridiplantae, Streptophyta, Magnoliopsida, Asparagales, Asparagaceae.
UUUUCUUACAUGAAUGAUGUCACAAAUGAAAAGUAGUCCUCAAAUUUCAGGCAUCAUCAGUUGCAUUGAGUUAUAGGAGCCUGGAAAUAUUUUUCAGUUGGAAUUAAUACCAUAUGACAUUUAUUUUCAUAUGACAAACCAUAGAAAUUGACGAAACAGCCUUAAAGGCUAGAGACCAUUACUAAUAGGAGCCUUGGAACCAAUAUGAUAAAAUGCCUUGUUAAAAUUAAAGAAUGAUACUAUAUGGAUGUAUGUGAAAUUAACUCUUGAAAAUAAAUAUCAAAUUGAAGAUUGUAUCAUGUUACUAAAAUAUCAACUUUAGUAGACGACCUGAUCUUCGAUAUGAUGUAUGAAUGUCAAAAUUCAAGAGUACUAAUCUAUACCCCCCUGCACUCAUUAUACAUUGCCUUCAACAAAUAUAAAAAUUUUGUUUACCCUCCAAUUUGGGGUAUUUUCAGGUUAUCCAUGGCUAGAAAAAGUUUUUAUGUUGUGAAGAGAGGUCGACGAUGUGGUAUUUUUAAUAAUAGGGAGGAAUGCAAAUAUCAGGUCGAUAAGUUCCCAAAUGCCUCCUACAAAGGGUAUGCAACAUACGAAGAGGCUUUGAUUGAAUGGGAGAAGCACACACUCGCUCGUGAUUCAGCAUCAAGCUCGAGGCCUGUCCAAACAUCCGUUUAUGCUCAAGAACGAAGAUAUCCAGUGAGCCAUAAUCUGGAUGUGGACAAGGAAAAACUUGGGGAAACUUCUAUUUUCUCUAUCUAUGCUUUUGUAUUAGGUUCAUUGUUUACAAUAUUAGUAUUUCUAGUAUGUAUCGUUGCGGUAUUUGUUGGUUUCUCUAUUGCAAAAAACAUAUGAUGUAAUUUGUGGCUGAGCUUGAAUUGGUUUGAUAUGUA